Molecule: ribosomal RNA, 301 nt
Filed under: uncultured bacterium
Lineage: Bacteria
Description: partial 16S ribosomal RNA
Rfam family: Bacterial small subunit ribosomal RNA
Source: RNAcentral
CAGUAGCCGCGGUAAAACGUAGGGUGCAAGCGUUAAUCGGAAUUACUGGGCGUAAAGCGUGCGCAGGCGGUUAUAUAAGACAGAUGUGAAAUCCCCGGGCUCAACCUGGGAACUGCAUUUGUGACUGUAUAGCUAGAGUACGGCAGAGGGGGAUGGAAUUCCGCGUGUAGCAGUGAAAUGCGUAGAUAUGCGGAGGAACACCGAUGGCGAAGGCAAUCCCCUGGGCCUGUACUGACGCUCAUGCACGAAAGCGUGGGGAGCAAACAGGAUUAGAUACCCGCGUAGUCCCUGUCUCUUAUAC